UUUGACCUCAAAUCAGGUAGGACUACCCGCUGAACUUAAGCAUAUCAAUAAGCGGAGGAAAAGAAACUAACAAGGAUUCCCCUAGUAACGGCGAGUGAAGAGGGAAAAGCUCAAAUUUGAAAUCUGGCAGUCUACGGCUGUCCGAGUUGUAAUCUAGAGAAGUGUUUUCCGUGCUGGACCGUGUACAAGUCCUUUGGAACAAGGCGUCAUAGAGGGUGAGAAUCCCGUCUACGACACGGACUACCAGUGCUCUGUGAUACACUCUCAACGAGUCGAGUUGUUUGGGAAUGCAGCUCAAAAUGGGUGGUAAAUUCCAUCUAAAGCUAAAUACAGGCGAAAGACCGAUAGCGAACAAGUACCGUGAGGGAAAGAUGAAAAGCACUUUGGAAAGAGAGUUAAACAGUACGUGAAAUUGUUGAAAGGGAAACGCUUGAAGUCAGUCGCGUCUUCAGAAAUUCAGCCUGGCUUUUGCCUGGUGUACUUUUCUGUUGGACGGGCCAGCAUCAGUUUUGGCCGCCAGAAAAAGGUGGGAGGAAGGUGGCACCUCCGGGUGUGUUAUAGCCUCUCAUCGUAUGUGGCGGCUGGGACUGAGGACCGCAGCACGCCUUUAAUGGCCGGGGUUCGCCCACGUAACGUGCUUAGGAUGCUGGCGUAAUGGCUUUAAACGACCCGUCUUGAAACACGGACCAAGGAGUCUAACAUGCCUGCGAGUAUUUGGGUGGUAAACCCAUAUGCGGAAUGAAAGUGAACAGUUGGGACUUCUGUCAUGGAAGGCACCGACGCCCGGACCAGACCUAUUGUGACGGAUCCGAGGUAGAGCAUGUAUGUUGGGACCCGAAAGAUGGUGAACUAUGCCUGAGUAGGGUGAAGCCAGAGGAAACUCUGGUGGAGGCUCGUAGCGAUUCUGACGUGCAAAUCGAUCGUCGAACUUGGGUAUAGGGGCGAAAGACUAAUCGAAC
Molecule: ribosomal RNA, 959 nt
Filed under: Geastrum austrominimum
Lineage: Eukaryota; Fungi; Basidiomycota; Agaricomycetes; Geastrales; Geastraceae
Description: LSU rRNA
Rfam family: Eukaryotic large subunit ribosomal RNA
Source: RNAcentral